UACGUAGGGUGCGAGCGUUGUCCGGAAUUAUUGGGCGUAAAGAGCUCGUAGGCGGCUCGUCGCGUCGACCGUGAAAACCCGCGGCUUAACUGCGGGCUUGCGGUUGAUACGGGCGGGCUAGAGUUCGGUAGGGGAAACUGGAAUUCCUGGUGUAGCGGUGAAAUGCGCAGAUAUCAGGAGGAACACCGGUGGCGAAGGUGGGUCUCUGGGCCGAUACUGACGCUGAGGAGCGAAAGCGUGGGGAGCGAACAGG
Molecule: ribosomal RNA, 253 nt
Filed under: uncultured bacterium
Lineage: Bacteria
Description: partial 16S ribosomal RNA
Rfam family: Bacterial small subunit ribosomal RNA
Source: RNAcentral